Long non-coding RNA from Cephus cinctus (wheat stem sawfly), 7728 nucleotides. RefSeq lists it as uncharacterized. The transcript has 2 exons. NCBI's taxonomy places the organism in Eukaryota, Metazoa, Arthropoda, Insecta, Hymenoptera, Cephidae. The record is from RefSeq and is a predicted model, not a curated record.
AAUACGUCACAAGAAAAUAAGCACUGACCCUUAUAACUCCUAAGCCACGCACAGGACGGAUCGCGAAUUACAACGAUUCUUAACGAUCAAUUAAUUCGUUAUACUAGCCGCAACGUAAUUCCUAUUCAGCAUUAGUCUGAGGUCUGUGAUAAUAGAAAUCACUGUCGCUCAUAAAGACUGUCAUACUGUAAUAUCGUUAUACCCCGUAUCGCGGAGCGAAGGAACUUUCAUAAGAUAAUACCUCAUUGUUGUUAUUCGAUACGUCAUUAAUAUUAAACACCAGACUGUUGGGUUGAUCUUUCGGUGAUCGAGUCUCAGUCUUAAUAUGAAUCAGUUUGUAAAAAUACGACUGUUGACCCAUUCUUCUAUUUAUUUGUUUUUCAUUAUCAUUGAUGCAUAUUCGUACACAUUACCAUGCAUGCAGUUAACUCCAAGACGAAGAAUUCUUGAUAACCCAAAGACUUUGCUAUAAUUUAUCUAAUGCUACGAUAGAGGUCAUUCCACAGUGACUUCUGAUAGAAGAGACGAUGAUAGUAUUUACAGUGAUAUUUGUUACCUAUUUUGAUGGCCCUAUGACACUUUACGUAAUGAUGAUCUUAUAGGGCCAUCGAAAGUCCGAUUGUAGAUAAGAAUGAUGUGAAAUUUACAUAUAAUGUUCAUAAAGCACUGUAUGUAGACUGUGAAUAAAGCAACUGGGAAAUAUUUUUUUCGUAAUGGUUUAUAUCGAAAAUCGUAAAUAAAUUAAUAAAAUUCCAGCUUCCAUGUACCGGUUUCAAUAGACGAACUAUUCGUGGGGUACGGUGGUUGGUAUACCUAACUCGCAUAUAAAGUGCCAUUUAAUUAGACCAUUUGGAGGGACAUCACGUAUGUCUAUCCUUGUGAAAUAUUAUCGUCGUGGCGAUUCUACUAGAUCGCCAUCGUGACACAACAAAGUGAAGCAGAACUCGCCAGCAGAUCCUGAUGAAUUAAUUCAGCGAAUCGAGAAAGGCAACUUGCUGGCUCCACGGUCGUUCCUCGGAAACAACAGCGCGGAGAUUCGAUUUUUUUUGCAAACACGGACUGACUCAGCCAUGGGGUCCUGCGCCUACAUACGCGAUCCUUAAAGCAUUGUGAAUGAUCAAAGACUCGGGGACCUUGAUCGGACGAUUUAUGACGUCUGCGAUCUUCAUCCAAGAUACAAAAGACUAUAUAGAAAUAAUGCAGCCCGUGUUGUCUGAAUAGAAAACAAAAUUGAGUGACGCGCAAACGGUAUAUCGUUAAGUUUUUAUAGUUACCAAAUUGCCCAUUUCUUUCCUUCUAAGAAACCUAUUUAACGAUGUUAUAAUUCGUAAUAAUCAAGGCAAGUCUCGGGAGCCGGUUUACCCGGACAAAGAAAACUUCUUCAGACUCAGCGUCGGCAAAAGAGCCGCUGACCUCGUGGCCCAAGAAAAAUAUACGCGAGUCUCGUUGAAGUUCCCUCCAGUUACACGAACCGUGUGCCGUGCAUACGUUAGGUAUAUGCGUAGAGCUGGAUUCAGGUUAUAUAUAGCAAUAUAUAAUACAGGACAAAACUCAUUGGAAGCCGCCAUCUUGGCUUUCGAUAACGAAACGUAACCGAUUGCAUUGAAGAGCCUUGAGUAAUCUUCCACGAAUCCCAAUGGAAUACGAAUGGAUUGCGGAAGCACCUAUAGCAUCGUUGUAGUAGCUAAACUUUUCCGCACAAGCGACGUUUCUUGUACAGGUAUACUAUAGUGUUAAGCUACUCUUACAGAAGAUGGAUGUCAAUAACGAACUCAAAGAACUGCCUGUGAUAGUUGUCAGUUUCUGUGCUACCUAUACCUAUCUUGUUGUUUGAAAAAUGAUCGUACGUGAUAUUCAUAUUAUACGCCAAUAAUUGUAUCUAUAUGGUGUCUGACGCAUGUACAUAAAUCGUUACGAUAUUCAAAUGUGAAUUCGUGCCUAGGGAUGAACGAGUAGACUAGGGAUGAAUGUCAAUUUUUUUAUGUGGAAUUCAAAAUGUGUCCAAUGACGUCAAAGUACAGCGACUCGGUUUCCUUUGCCUUGUAGGCACUUUAGAAAUUGUAUGAUUAAAGCUGUUUCUUUGCAGUACUAACAAUGCAUACGCAUGAAAGGUGAACUACCGCGAUAGCCUUUGGGUAUCAUUCUUCCUGAUUCCCAGUGACUACAAAUGCAUUGUAUAAAUAUACAUAGUAACAAAAAAAAAAUUAUGGAAAUUUCAGUUAAAUGUUGUCACAGGUACGUGUGUGGAUUGCGAAUUUUUUUAAAACUUAUCUAUUAAUUAAAUUAUACACACUUUAUCAUCAUCUACUAGGACUCAUUCGUAUAGACGAUUUUGAAUUUUUUUCUAACGAUAUUUAUUUCCAGUUACUAAAAUAUGAAUAAGAAACGAAGAUCAAGCUUUUUAAGCAAUUUUACUUAAUCACAAUCGGAAAUAAAAUGUAUGUACUGGGAGAAGCAGUCAGUUAUCGACCGGUAGUGAACGUGAUUACUCAUAACUUGUAAAUAAGUGUAAUAAUGUAUGCGGAUAAAGUUCGUUGUCCCACGAGGGCAGAAUGAUUGUAACGGAAUGCACACAAAGAGCGUGAAAGCUCUAUUGUUAUACGAUGCGUACUUCAAGGUGACUGCAGCAUGAUAAUUAUCGCAUUACGAUGUAUUUUAAUGAAUUUCACGGACGUACAAUUAUAAAUGCAUUAAUGUACAUUUUUUUUCAAAAACAAAUGUCGAGACAUUAACAUACGUUUAUUUUUGAAAUAUUUCAAUGACCUCAUAAGGCUAUCAGUAAGCUUUACGAAUUUGGUCUCGUUUUUCGGAUAACUAACGAUUUUUUCUUCAGCGUGACGGCAAUACUAGUGGCUAAUUAUUAUUAUAUGUAUAUGUAUAUGACGCUUGUGCGUACGUCAUGAAACAAUAUAAUAAUAAUUAAAUAUCCUGGUGACACGUUAUAUUGGAUGGCAAUCAAAGUUUGGCACUGAGACGCAGUUCCGUUUAGUCGAUCCUAAAUUGGAUUAAACAGCUAUUAACAUUUCAAACGAUAUGGUUCGAAAGUCACAUGAUUUCGGUCACGUAUCUUUUCUUUUUUAUGGUUUCACGAUCUUUCUUUAUCUUCGCGCGUAUACUUUGUAAAUAAGAGCGAGUCGUGAGUCACGUGUUCUCGCUGCCAUGUCCAAAUGCCAGGGGCACUGAGAAAGUAUUUUCAAGAAUCCGAGAGGUAACGAAUACAUUGCCAGAUAUUCAAGGAACAGCCGAUAGUAAAGUACUGAAGCAGUGUUAGAGCUUAAAUGGGAACACUACUAUGCUAUCGAUGAAAUUAAGUAGCGCUGAAAAAAUGUACCCAAGUUUUUAAAUAUGAAAUAGUCUUCGUUGCUUGGGAAAAUUUUACAUAUUUUUUGUGUCCACAAAUUUCGUAAUUUCAAUACGAAAUGCACGCUGUGUUACAAUAUUACUUUACAUCUAAAAGCCGUUUAUCAUUUGACAUAAAAACGAGUCUGCAAAUGAGACCAGAAUUAUUCUAAAAAAUUCCAAUAUCAUUUCCUUGAUUGUGGAUUCUUAUUUCUUGUGCAAUUUUGAAUUUAAUCAUUCACACUGAGGAAUCUAUCAUUAGCAUAGCACGUUAACUAAUAAUUCAUUACAACUUUAGUAUUACGGUAAUAAUAUAAGAAUCGCUAUUAUUUAUUACGCACUAUCAGAUGCGUAUAAUCCGUGCCUUACGCACUUAAGAUAAAAAGAUUAAGGGAAGUGCACAAAGCAUACGACUACAAUACGAGUAAGAUUACCUGCUGCAAUUAUAAGUUUUACUAUUAUCGAUCAACUAUUUUGUAAAUCAUAAAUUUUUAUGAAUACCAUAAAACUGUAACCUUUUUCUUCUAUAAGAUUGACUUUUAGAUUCUGAUGACCCGUCACUAGAUUUUUGGGCCAAGGUUGUACUGACCCCUGUCGUAUUAAAAUUCCGCGGUGUUAAUGGAUCAAUCAGUUCUCAAAAAAUUAAGUUCACGCCUUAUUUAUAAAUCAUACGUUUAAACACGUUUCAUGUGUGGGAAUUGGCAUUGAGUAAUUUAUCAAUUGACGUAUAUUCAUAUGGCUGAUAUAGCGCCUCGAGGAACAUAUGUACUUGAACGUGGCUUACAUUCGGUUAUUUAUUUAAAGAAUAUUUCACAUAUCGUAGUAUCAUUCUCCAUUGAUCAUGUUGUAAUGAUUGUUAAUUAUAUACGAAUUGGCAAUUAUCGACAUAAUAAGACAAUCGCAUAUGCUCAUCGAAUGUUCGUUCAGUCGUUAUGGCCAAUUUAUCAUUUGUAUUUAUUACUAGUUACAUACAAUGACAUAAAGAUACACGUGCUUCGUAACAUCACUUCAGUAUGGUUCGAUGGGAAGUUAAAACUAUCAUUUCCUAGCAUUUCUUACCAUAUAUGAGACGUCAAGUAGCUUACGGUUCGAGCUCAUUUCUUCUAGUUAGUUUUUGCAAAUCUUUGCGUGCCAAAUUAUCAGUUUGCAGCUAGUCUUGUAAUAAAACAAGAUGUAAGCAAAAUGAAUUGUUUUCGAUUUUUCCAAUAGGUCAAUGGUAUCAUCAAUUAUUUUACAAAUUUUUUACAAAGCAUUUCAACCACACGUGUUUUCUCUGAAUUUAAUACGUCGAGAUGAUACUGUCGUGGGAGUGAGGCUGCGCGGAAUCGUUAAGGUAAAUCAGAUUACAUUUUAAUUUACCAAGGAUAUGCAAUACUAAUAGUUCCAUAGGAAGGUUAGGGAACGGGCUUGAUUCAUAAUGUAGCAGAUCAAGGAGAUGGCGAUGUAAGUAAAUGUCAGCAGCAACGACAAUCGCGAAUGAUUAAUUUUGCAAAGUUUUAUUAGCAUCGGAACUGACUUUAUCGACAUGAAUUGGCAAUUAUCAAAUUCACAGAUCACAUUAAGACUUUUUGCUAUAACGAUCAUCGAUAAAAAUAUUUAAUAUCAAGAAUCAGCGAAAUCACUGCUUAUUUCGUAACGUAACGUUAUUGCGUAACGUUGCAAGAAAUAUUAGCAAGUAUGUGCAGUUCUGCAUUCAUGCAUCUUAUCAAUAUUAUUCUUACUCAUAGGAGGAUCCUUGUGGGAGAUACAAGAGGCGGAGUGCAUGUAUCCUCGGAUAUUCGGCCCUGAUGGCGCCUUGGAGGACAGGCGGCUUUGGUUUUCAUCCGUAAGGGUCUAUAGGGGAGCGGGGUACUUCACAUCUACCAAUUUUAUGAGACCUGAAAAGUCUCGAAGUCCUCGCUGACUAGAUCAGCACCCUUAUCAUCGUGUAUUGCGUGGACAGAAAAUCGAAGACCUAUGUCUAGGGAAAAUUCAAACACAUUUCCUCGUUCCAAGAAAGGAUCCAAGGCAUGGCAUGCAGAGGACCUAAAAAUUGGUCUAGACUUAGUUACAAUUCAGCUUUCACUAAAGGCAGACCACUGUGCAAACAAUAAAUAAAAAAGAAUACAUCAUCAAAAUUAGAUUCUUAUUCCAAAUUGGUUGUCAUCAUCAUUAAAUUUAAAUCAGUUGGCGGAGUUCACGUUCCUAUUCCGACGCGUUUUAAAAGUAAUAUAAUAUGUUACGAUAAAGGGGCAUACACACGAGUAAAAUAAAUUAUUUAAUUUUUUGCUAUUGUACAAAUAAUGCUAAAUUACAACGACAAAAAAAUUGCCGUACUUUAAAGAUGUGAACUUGAAAACGUUAAUACGAAUAAACGUGCCACUUAUUGACUCGGUCAGUUUCCGCUACACGUACACGCGAUAUGUUUAAUAUAUUCACAUAUACCGGCACAACCGACUUGAACAAGAUUUAAUUUCUUCGUUUGAAAAAAAUCUCGAGGAUAUCUUCGAGAGACACGAUCUCGAAAGUUCGACCAUACUUUUUUUUUUUAAUUGAACGGCACUUUUCUCCUACCUUCGUUCUCAGAAGCAAGGACGUAAACGCCAUAUUCAUAUCGAUCACGUGAUUGUAAACAGAUUCUCGAAGAUUCGUUCGCCUUCUACAAUUCAGCUAGAUGAUUCACGAGUUAUACUACUAACGUGUUGUCGUUACGGAAUUGUUUCUGCGACUCUAGCAGCCUAGGGGCAUUUCGUAUAUUUGAAUUUAGUAAUUUUCCAGGACCAAAUGUCUAGGUUCUAGUCGAUGACGAAUGGCGUUUCGUUAUUUCUUUGAGCUUAUGAAAUUUGAUACUUUAUGCGCUGUUCGAGUAUUUCAUAGAGGGAAACCAGCACGUGUUAGUCGAAUCAAGAAACUUGGUUAAGAUUGACGUCAUUUCGGGUUUUUCGAAUAAUAUAUGAAUAGUGGAUUAUCCUAAUUUAAAAACUUAAUGUAUGGCAGACCUGAUCUAUGGAAAAGAAAAUGUAAACAUUUAUGAAAAUUUUUCUCUAAUUUGACAAUUUAAAUUCACUAAUUUUUCUAUGGUGUUCGUAAUGACUUUUUACGUAUUUAUGACAAAUAUAAACACAGCUAUCAGAUGUUUUAUGGAAUACGUUAUUGUAUUAGAUUAUUUAAUCCAAAAUCCUCACCGCUACUUUUGGCACUAAGUAGUCCCACACAUGGAUCAUUCACAGCCAUGGCAUAUUACAUCAUUUUAUGAUUAAUAAAAAAUUUUUCAUGUGUCUUAGGAUCUUAACCAUAAAAUUAAAUUGUCAUAGUUUAAUCAAAUUAAUUUUGCGUAAUUUUUUUUACCGAGAUUUGAACAUAAAUGGCUUAGAUUCACCCUAUUGAUAAAUUUUUCGAGAAUACGAAUGGAACCAUCAAUGAGAAUCCUGGAUUAGUAUUUUAUUAUUUAUUGUGAUGGCAAUAAUAUAGCUUCACGUAUAAAUGGCUUUCAGUACUUUGAAUUAUUCGCCAUUUGUUCGGCUUGCUGUAAUUAUUAGCUGUCAAUAUAAUAUUCAUACUUGCAAUUUCUCGGCCAAUCAAUGAAUAGAGGAAUGGAAAAUAUUUUGAAAUGAGGUUUGACAAGUUAUCGCUUAUUUUCUUAAUAAAAGAUACGAUCCUAUCGUUUUUAGCGCAAUAAGUGAAUACAUAAAUACGUGACUAGCUUAUACGGAUUACACAGGUCACUAGACACUGACAGCAUUUGCAUGUUUUCUUGAACGAUUGAGAAUUUUGUUUUGCUCCUUUAAUACGAAGUGACUACAAGUAAUAAUAGGAUAAAGUAAAAGAAAAAAGGGCAGACUGACGUUAAACAGGCAAAGAAGGCAGGGAAUCACAAUAAGAAGUACGUAAUAAAUUUGAUCAGCAGUGGUUCUCCAAUUAUGAAUGAUUAGUUAUAGUCCACGUAGAGAAAAAUUUAAGAUUACACAGAAUCUGUGUUUCUUAGAAUGUCUAUAGCUCAUGGGAACAGCAUGGUUAAAAAUAUUAAUGCACACGUGUAUCGUAUUUGAGUUAGCUUUAACCUUCGAUACUUACGAAGAAAAUUAAAUUUCAUAAAUGAGCCUUGACAUAUUUUUCAAGCUAUAACAAAUAGUACCUAUUGAUAAUCACUGUUGCUGGAGAGGUGAAGAAAGUUUGAAGAAAAAACGAUUAUUUUAUUACGAAGAUUAAUGUAUUCGCAAACUCUCUAGGCCCUUCUUUUCUUGAGUGUCUUAUGACGUCAACUGUGGAAUCCCAAGGCACAAACUAUACCCUAAUAACAACAUGGGAAUACCUCAGAUCCUUUCAGACGAAUCUGUCUAUUAUAGUGUGAUACACCGAAAAAAAAAAAAAACAGAAAGGAUACGGGAAAAAAACAAACUAUUUGAUGAA